Molecule: ribosomal RNA, 248 nt
Filed under: uncultured Roseburia sp.
Lineage: Bacteria; Bacillati; Bacillota; Clostridia; Lachnospirales; Lachnospiraceae
Description: partial 16S ribosomal RNA
Rfam family: Bacterial small subunit ribosomal RNA
Source: RNAcentral
UACGUAGGGGGCAAGCGUUAUCCGGAUUCACUGGGCGUAAAGGGAGCGCAGGCGGCACGGCAAGUCCGGUGUGAAAACCCGGGGCUCAACCCCGGGACUGCAUUGGAAACUGCCGGGCUGGAGUGUCGGAGGGGUAAGCGGAAUUCCUAGUGUAGCGGUGAAAUGCGUAGAUAUUAGGAGGAACACCAGUGGCGAAGGCGGCUUACUGGACGAUGACUGACGCUGAGGCUCGAAAGCGUGGGGAGCAA